Long non-coding RNA from Erpetoichthys calabaricus (reedfish), 522 nucleotides. RefSeq lists it as uncharacterized. The record is from RefSeq and is a predicted model, not a curated record. Lineage: Eukaryota; Metazoa; Chordata; Cladistia; Polypteriformes; Polypteridae. The transcript is spliced from 3 exons.
CUGAAAAAUUUAACUCCAAUCGAAUGAAGGAGCAAAAUGAAAUGUGACGUGUGUCUGUGAACUUUAUAAUGGAUAUGUACAGCUUUUUGAUGCCCGGUGGUAACCAGCCUUCCAUGUGGCUGAACAGAUGCCAGUGUACCUGAAUUAUGAGACACAACUGGAUGUUCUUUUCUUCUGCUUUUAAGAUUCCCAAUUUGGAAUGAUGUGCAAUUCAUGUUAGAUUUGCUAUUUCUACAGACAGAAAGCCUCAGAGUGUGAAUCCUCACAAACACAGAGACUGAGGCACAUCAGUACCAACAGUCACUAAACAGGGAUGCUGUUCCAUGUUGCAAAAUAACAUUUAUUUUAUUAAGCCACUGUGCUUGUUUGUUGGAUUUUGAAAGAGCAGAAACUUAAUUUUAACCUUAAUCAAAACUAAGGCAGGAGAGAAAAACAAAGAUGUCUGCAUGUGAGUAAUGACACCUGAGCACAUCACAUUAGAAGUUCAGAUAUACAGAGGUUGCAACACAAUGUCUACUGUAU